This 980-nucleotide ribosomal RNA is filed under the name Enterococcus faecium. RNAcentral describes it as "bacterial SSU rRNA". It matches the Rfam family "Bacterial small subunit ribosomal RNA", at positions 8 to 957 of the family's 1533-position model. The record is from RNAcentral. Lineage: Bacteria; Bacillati; Bacillota; Bacilli; Lactobacillales; Enterococcaceae.
GAGAGUUUGAUCCUGGCUCAGGACGAACGCUGGCGGCGUGCCUAAUACAUGCAAGUCGUACGCUUCUUUUUCCACCGGAGCUUGCUCCACCGGAAAAAGAAGAGUGGCGAACGGGUGAGUAACACGUGGGUAACCUGCCCAUCAGAAGGGGAUAACACUUGGAAACAGGUGCUAAUACCGUAUAACAAUCGAAACCGCAUGGUUUUGAUUUGAAAGGCGCUUUCGGGUGUCGCUGAUGGAUGGACCCGCGGUGCAUUAGCUAGUUGGUGAGGUAACGGCUCACCAAGGCCACGAUGCAUAGCCGACCUGAGAGGGUGAUCGGCCACAUUGGGACUGAGACACGGCCCAAACUCCUACGGGAGGCAGCAGUAGGGAAUCUUCGGCAAUGGACGAAAGUCUGACCGAGCAACGCCGCGUGAGUGAAGAAGGUUUUCGGAUCGUAAAACUCUGUUGUUAGAGAAGAACAAGGAUGAGAGUAACUGUUCAUCCCUUGACGGUAUCUAACCAGAAAGCCACGGCUAACUACGUGCCAGCAGCCGCGGUAAUACGUAGGUGGCAAGCGUUGUCCGGAUUUAUUGGGCGUAAAGCGAGCGCAGGCGGUUUCUUAAGUCUGAUGUGAAAGCCCCCGGCUCAACCGGGGAGGGUCAUUGGAAACUGGGAGACUUGAGUGCAGAAGAGGAGAGUGGAAUUCCAUGUGUAGCGGUGAAAUGCGUAGAUAUAUGGAGGAACACCAGUGGCGAAGGCGGCUCUCUGGUCUGUAACUGACGCUGAGGCUCGAAAGCGUGGGGAGCAAACAGGAUUAGAUACCCUGGUAGUCCACGCCGUAAACGAUGAGUGCUAAGUGUUGGAGGGUUUCCGCCCUUCAGUGCUGCAGCUAACGCAUUAAGCACUCCGCCUGGGGAGUACGACCGCAAGGUUGAAACUCAAAGGAAUUGACGGGGGCCCGCACAAGCGGUGGAGCAUGUGGUUUAAUUCGAAGC